ACUUGGAUAAAUUGUAAUUCCUCCUUGUACCUUUAAUUGACAUAGACCCCA
This 51-nucleotide transfer RNA is filed under the name Wulfeniopsis amherstiana. Its description in RNAcentral is "partial tRNA-Leu". Lineage: Eukaryota; Viridiplantae; Streptophyta; Magnoliopsida; Lamiales; Plantaginaceae. The record is from RNAcentral.